CUUCAUCUUCUUUAUAUU
Molecule: small RNA, 18 nt
Filed under: Arabidopsis thaliana (thale cress)
Lineage: Eukaryota; Viridiplantae; Streptophyta; Magnoliopsida; Brassicales; Brassicaceae
Description: ATSL023010
Source: RNAcentral